UUCACUAUGAAGCUUUUAUUACCGAGUUGAAACCUUAUCUGUUCUUAUCAGUUUAAUAUAUGGUCCCCAGAUAGGGGACGUAUCAGAUAUUAAAUGGAUUUUUGGAACAGGGAGAUGGAAGAAGAGCUUGCUCUGUCCACUCCACGCAUCGACCUGGUAUUGCAGUACCUCCAGGACCGGUGCACCUCUC
This 190-nucleotide small nuclear RNA is filed under the name Xenopus tropicalis (tropical clawed frog). RNAcentral's name for it is "U2 spliceosomal RNA (ENSXETG00000046440.1)". It matches the Rfam family "U2 spliceosomal RNA". From Rfam's summary of the family: U2 is a small nuclear RNA (snRNA) component of the spliceosome (involved in pre-mRNA splicing). Complementary binding between U2 snRNA (in an area lying towards the 5' end but 3' to hairpin I) and the branchpoint sequence (BPS) of the intron results the bulging out of an unpaired adenosine, on the BPS, which initiates a nucleophilic attack at the intronic 5' splice site, thus starting the first of two transesterification reactions that mediate splicing. Lineage: Eukaryota; Metazoa; Chordata; Amphibia; Anura; Pipidae. The record is from Rfam by way of RNAcentral.